RNAcentral lists this ribosomal RNA (584 nucleotides) under uncultured euryarchaeote. Its description in RNAcentral is "bacterial SSU rRNA". It matches the Rfam family "Archaeal small subunit ribosomal RNA", at positions 80 to 667 of the family's 1478-position model. The record is from RNAcentral. Lineage: Archaea; Methanobacteriati; Methanobacteriota.
CGAUUACGGCUCAGUAACACGUCGUUAACGUGACCUUCGGUCAGGAUAAGCACGGGAAACUGUGUGUAAUACCUGAUAAGGGAGACAGCCUGGAAUGGCGUCUCUUUCGAAACUCGUGCCGAAGGAUCGGACGGCGGCUGAUUAGGUAGUUGGCGGUGUAACGGACCACCAAGCCAAAGAUCAGUACGGGCCAUGAGAGUGGUAGCCCGGAGAGGGACACUGAGAUACUGGUCCCAGCCCUACGGGGUGCAGCAGGCGCGAAACCUUUACCAUGCACGAAAGUGUGAUAAGGGAAUCCCCAGUGCCCAUGUAAUGCAUGGGCUUUUGCCAAGUGUAAAUAGCUUGGCGAAUAAGUGGUGGGUAAGACUGGUGCCAGCCGCCGCGGUAACACCAGCGCCACGAGUGGUGACCGCGAUUAUUGGGCCUAAAGCGUCCGUAGCCGGUUCAGCAAAUCCUUUGUGAAAUUGUCUGGCUCAACCAUACAACGUGCAAGGGACACUACUGAACUCGAGACCGCGGAGGAGUCAGAAGUAUUCCUGAGGGAGCGGUAACAAUGUUUUAAUCUCAGGAGGACUACCUGUGGC